GUGGGGAAUAUUGCACAAUGGGCGCAAGCCUGAUGCAGCAACGCCGCGUGAGGGACGACGGCCUUCGGGUUGUAAACCUCUUUUAGCAGGGAAGAAGCGAAAGUGACGGUACCUGCAGAAAAAGCACCGGCUAACUACGUGCCAGCAGCCGCGGUAAUACGUAGGGUGCAAGCGUUGUCCGGAAUUAUUGGGCGUAAAGAGCUCGUAGGCGGUUUGUCGCGUCUGCUGGGAAAACCCGAGGCUCAACCUCGGGCCUGCAGUGGGUACGGGCAGACUAGAGUGCGGUAGGGGAGAUUGGAAUUCCUGGUGUAGCGGUGGAAUGCGCAGAUAUCAGGAGGAACACCGAUGGCGAAGGCAGAUCUCUGGGCCGUAACUGACGCUGAGGAGCGAAAGCGUGGGGAGCGAACAGGAUUAGAAACCCUAGUAGUCC
This 430-nucleotide ribosomal RNA is filed under the name uncultured bacterium. RNAcentral's name for it is "partial 16S ribosomal RNA". It matches the Rfam family "Bacterial small subunit ribosomal RNA", at positions 354 to 796 of the family's 1533-position model. The record is from RNAcentral.